CUUUUAUUUGAUGUGCAUAGUAUUAACAAGGGUUACAUCACAGACAUAUUAAUGUCUAGCAAUUUCUUUUUUAAUGAUCAACAGGGAUAGUCAUUUAAAAAGGCAGAUAAAUGUGGCUACAAAGUACAUUUUUCUGAAGUUUUAGUUCAAACAUCCGACCAGUUUAUUGGAUUUAUCUUCUUCAAUUUCAGAUGGUUUCAACUGCUUUUAAAUAAAAUAAUUAAAUCGAGGCAUUCAUUUGUAAAAUGUUCUUGUUUUUAAGAACAUCUAACAAGUAAUAUUGUAAUCAUUUUUUGUGUGUGCUUUUCAAUAUAAUAAAGUACAAUUUUGGGAAACUAUAUAUACUAAGUUUUCCUAAAUGGCCCCCACAUCUAUCAUAUCACAAGGAUACAUGAUGUAUUCAGUGUAAAUGCUUGAUAAUACUAACCUCACUUCUGCUCCAGGGCUGCCAUUUCCUCAUCUUCAUGGGUGUUACUCCUCCUUGCUCUCUUCUGUAAUUUGCCCUGCUUGGCUAAGCUUUCUCCCUAAAGCAGUUGUUCCCAACCUAUGGUACACGUACCCCCAGGGUACAAUUUAGCUCCCUCUGUGUUACCCGAAAAAAUGUCUGUAAUGGCAGAACUGACAUCCGCAGGGCCGAACCAGGGUGCAUUGCCCCUGAGACUGGUGUGCCCUGGAUUUGUU
Non-coding RNA from Pelobates cultripes (western spadefoot toad), 681 nucleotides. The record is from the annotation of a GenBank genome assembly. NCBI's taxonomy places the organism in Eukaryota, Metazoa, Chordata, Amphibia, Anura, Pelobatidae.